Molecule: long non-coding RNA, 443 nt
Organism: Hydractinia symbiolongicarpus
Lineage: Eukaryota; Metazoa; Cnidaria; Hydrozoa; Anthoathecata; Hydractiniidae
Exons: 3
Source: RefSeq, a predicted model, not a curated record
UUGACGCUAGACGCUGAAAAAUAUGGCAUUCGAUGUAGUGAAUGGUUUUAAUGCUUAAAAAAACACUUUAUACUCCAUUAUAGUAUUUAAACAACUUGUUUUCGUGAAUAUGGAAGUGAAUAUAAUCUUUACUCAGUAACACAAAUGUUGACAAAAACUCUUACGCAAAAACAAAGAUUCGUCGCAAGAAAGCUGCAUCUUGGGAAAACCUCGCUAGUAGUAACAGCACAUCCAUUACAUUUAUUUAUUGACUUUAUUCAAGUCGCACAUUCAUUUGUCAAUCUGUCUCUUAUUAAAUGUUUUGUUAGACAUCCUGUCGCGAAUGCUGACGUUCUGUUUUUUGUUCAACGAAGCUGUGUUGAGUAAAUAAAUGGACGAAAGUUUCGGAAAGAAAAAAUGUUCAUUCACUUUAAAUCAUGAAUGCUUUCUCUCACAAACGGAAG